CCCAACUAUCCCUAUUAAUCAUUACGGUGAUCCUAGAAACCAACAAAAUAGAACCAUGCCGUCCUAUUCUAUUAUUCCAUGCUAAUGUAUUCGAGCAAAAAUGCCUGCUUUAAACACUCUAAUUUUUUCAAGGUAAAGGUCCUGGAUCCGCAAGACACCCAAUAAAGGACAUCAAGUUUCUCCAGAAGGUGAGAAAUCAACAGUAACAGUUCAUACCCCUUAAGGCAUGACCAUCACGUCAAUCCCGAAAUUCAACUACGAGCUUUUUAACUGCAACAACUUUAAUAUACGCUAUUGGAGCUGGAAUUACCGCGGCUGCUGGCACCAGACUUGCCCUCCAA
This 341-nucleotide unclassified non-coding RNA is filed under the name uncultured Entrophosporaceae. RNAcentral's name for it is "uncultured Claroideoglomeraceae sequence contains 18S rRNA gene". Lineage: Eukaryota; Fungi; Glomeromycota; Glomeromycetes; Entrophosporales; Entrophosporaceae. The record is from RNAcentral.